CGGCCACAGCGCAGGCCGCUGCCGCACCCGAUCCGGGGGCUCCUCGGACUCCGGCCCCGGCCGCCGUUUCGCGGGCUUUUCUCUCAGUCCUUGUCGUCCGCGGAGGGUCCCACCGUCCCAGAACCUCCCGAGCGCUCCCACCAAACCCCGCCCCGGGCCCGCGUGUCAUGCUCCGACGCCAUAAACCCCCGCUAACCAGGAGAGAGAGAGAGAGCGCAUCAGGUACCCACGCCAGGUUGCCUUGCCUCUGCAAACCCCACCUGCCUCCGUCCGCCCCCCCACGCCGUUGCGAAACGCGCUCUCUCUUCCCCCGCAUGGAUCGCUCCGGCCGCCGCGGCCGCGCCCGCGGCCGUGGAGAAACCCUAGCGGAGGCCUCCCCGCGCACGCGCCGUCGCCAUGCCGAGACGAUCGUCAUCGACCUCGAUAGCGAGGACGGCGGGGGCGGCUCCUCGACGGCGGCGGCUGCUGCGAGCAGCAGCAGCAGCCGUCGCUCCUCGGCGCCUUUGACGCUGGUGACUUCGGGGUCGGUGGCGACGCGGACGCGAUCGAGGAGCCUGGCGAUGAAGUCGCCGGUGGCGGAGGCGGAGGCGGCGCCGAGGGCCAAAAGGAGGAGGAAGGGGACGAGCGCCGAAGCAGACGGCGGCGGAGGGAGCAAAGGCGCCGAGGCCUCGGAGUCAGCAUCAAAAGGAAAUCGCCGUGGACGCUCGCGGACUGCCUCAGAGCCACCGGAUCGGGCUCUUGCGCGGAAGAGCAAGGAUGCAGAUGCAGAGGAGGAAGCAGAGGCUGAAGCAGAGGAGGAAGCAGAGGCGGAGGCGCCCGCUUGUGGAAAACGGGUGGAGGUAUCACGGGUUGAUGGUUGUGCGAACAGUGAGCGAGGCGAGGAUCCUUUAGAUGACCAUAAUAACGGGUCUAACGCUCGGGAGGCAUGUGGCAUUGGUCACGGGAACGAGGAGCAUCACAAUGCUGCUGGUAAGAAUCGAAUAGGUGAGCCUUGUGGGAAUGGGGUGGCCAGUAUUUUGAAUUCAAGUCAUGGGAUGAAUGUGGUGGCAUCAGGCCAUGCAGAGGGUGUGAAAGACUGGGGGAAUAAGGGAGGUGAGCUAGAUGAUGGUUUUGAGGUCGAUGAGGAGUACAUGAAUGAAGAGGAUACAGAGGACGAUGAUGAGAUGUUGGAGGAAAAGCUCGUCGGCGAUCUGAUUCGUGCUUACAGUAAUGGUGAUGAUUUGGAUGCAGAUGGAGUGGACUGGGAAGCUGAGGAUGAGAUGGAGUUUGAUGAUGAUGGCGACGACGACUAUUUUGUGCAUGAUGCUGAUGAAUGUGGCAUGUCUGAACCAAUGUGCGACGAUUAUAAGGUGGGAACACAGUAUCUGUCAGAUCACGAGGUUGUCGUUGGUGAAGUUAGCUGCCAAUUGGAGGAAGAUGUUGUCAAGGAUGAGGUGGACCCGAAGAGAGAAGGAACUACAUGCUUUGAUCAAGGGAGACUGCAUAUUGAAAUUCUCGAGUCUGACGAUGAAGUCAAAGUGCUCAGUGAUGCUAGUAAUCCCUUGAAGAGGAAGCCUCUACCACAAGCAAAGAUACCAGUUCUGCCAUGUGUUGCAUGGAGGACUCGGUCAUUGUGGGGCGUUAAGCAAGAUAGAAUUUCGUACAAUGCAUAUUUUGAGGAGUUGUCUGAUGAGCCAAUAGAGGAUGAUGAUACAGAAGUGGAACUGGAUGACGAAGAUGACAACGAUGACGAUAGUGCCAGUUUUGAGGAAGAGGAAGAAGAGGAGACGAAACAGGAAGAAGUUGCUGAAAAGAGCAAACACAAGAAAGGAAUUCACUCAUCCUUUCCUGAAAUAAGGUCAAGGCCUAUGCCUCUUUUCGUUAAUAGAGAGAGAAGAAUGCAAACAUCAAUACCAAAAUGGCGUGGCACCUCAAAGAAAGCGAGGCAGCCGGAAACAUGCCAUGUAAUUUACUCAUCUGAUGAUGAGAUAAUUGAUGAUACUGCAAAAGAUGGUUUGAAAUGCGAGGUUGAUGAAGAUCCAAGGAAUAAUGUUUUUCAGCCACUCAAUUUUGAGAAAGUUGGCAGUGACGGUACAGUGGGCAAUGGCAUUACUACAGAGCAACAGAAGGGGUCACGAUUUACUUGGGAUCUUGAGAGGAGGAAAAAGCUGAAGCUUGGGAUAAUUAAGAGCCGUCAUUCAUAUGAGCGGGGUUUGGACUUGGAUUCGGACUCAUCGGGUUCUGGUGAGAAUGAAAGGCAUGGAUAUCAAGAAGGUGGUGAUAACAAAGUUGGGAGGAAAAAGAAGCAUUUGUCAUCAAAAUCUGGAAAAUCUGGCAAGAAAUCCAGCCGUUCAACCAUGUUAAAGCGGCAGUCUCUUCUGAAGCUUCUUAUGGAUAAGAUGACUGGCGAUAAAGAUGGUGAAUGUUCUCCUUUUGACCUUCAUUCCCAGUUCGAAUAUAAUUCCAACGAUUCCCAUCCAUUAGUAUUCUCAUUUGGUGAUGAAGAUCAUAUACCAGCUAACAAGGCAGAGCAAAAUGCUGAACAUGAUAUGCUAUGGGCUGACUAUGACUUUGCUUUAGAGUUGGAGAAUAUUGGAACCUAUUAUGAUGACGAGCACCAAGAAGAGAGCAAUAUGCUAAAUCUUGGCCUUGCUUGUACAACACCUUGUUCUCGUGGGAAGCAUGAGUUUAUUAUUGAUGAUCAAAUAGGAAUCAGAUGCAAAUACUGCUCCUUGGUAAAUCUAGAAAUCAGAUUUGUUUUACCAUCAAUGGUCUCAAAUUAUGCAGAGAAAUCUGCAUGGAGAAAUUCAUCUUGUUUGAAGGAUGCGUUGAUGUAUCAUGAUCUUUGUGAACAAGCAGGGAGUAUUGACGGGCAAUCUCAAGGUUUCCAUCCAUAUGGAACAGUGUGGGACCUCAUUCCUGGUGCCAUUAAUACUAUGUAUCAGCAUCAACGUGAAGCAUUUGAAUUUAUGUGGACAAAUCUAGUUGGUGAUAUUAGACUUGAUGAGCUUAAGCAUGGAGCUAAGCCUGAUGUUGUUGGAGGAUGUGUGAUUUGUCAUGCCCCAGGGACAGGAAAGACACGUUUAGCUAUUGUGUUUAUCCAGACAUAUAUGAAGGUAUUUCCAGACUGCCGGCCAGUGAUUAUUGCACCUCGCGGGAUGCUGUUUGCUUGGGAAGAGGAGUUCAAGAAAUGGGAUGUCAAUGUUCCUUUCCAUAUACUGAACACUACAGAAUACUCAGGAAAAGAAGACAGAGACAUAUGUAGGUUAAUAAAGAAAGAACAUCGGACAGACAAGUUGACAAGGCUUGUAAAACUGCUUUCAUGGAACAAGGGACAUGGUAUUCUUGGAAUAAGUUAUGGUCUAUAUAUGAAACUAACAUCCGAAAAAUCUGUCUGCACUGAGGAAAACAAAGUACGAAGCAUUCUUCUCGAGAACCCUGGUUUGCUUGUCCUAGAUGAAGGGCACACACCUAGGAACGAACGCAGUGUUAUGUGGAAGACGUUGGGAAAAGUUAAAACUGAGAAGCGCAUAAUUCUAUCUGGAACUCCUUUCCAAAACAAUUUUCUCGAGCUUUACAAUAUACUAUGUUUGGUGAGGCCCAGGUUUGGUGAAAUGUUUUUGACUAAAACAAAAGUGGGCAGAAGGCAUUACGUGUCAAAGAAGCAACGUGAUAAAUUUUCUGAUAAAUAUGAAAAAGGUGUUUGGGCUUCAUUAACUAGCAAUGUAACUGAUGAUAAUGCUGAGAAAGUGCGAUCAAUAUUGAAACCAUUUGUUCAUAUCCAUAAUGGAACCAUUCUUCGAACUCUUCCAGGUCUCCGAGAGAGUGUGAUUGUUCUGAAACCUCCUCCCCUUCAGAAGAGUAUCAUUAGGAAGGUGGAAAACAUUGGGUCUGGUAACAAUUUUGAACAUGAAUAUGUUAUUUCUUUGGCAUCCACACAUCCUUCUCUUGUAACUGCCAUCAACAUGUCCGAUGAGGAAGCUUCACUUAUUGAUAAACCUAUGCUUGAGAGAUUAAGGUCAAAUCCCUAUGAAGGGGUGAAAACAAGAUUUGUAAUUGAAGUUGUUCGUUUGUGUGAAGCACUGAAAGAAAAGGUAUUGAUCUUUAGUCAAUUUAUUCAGCCAUUAGAACUGAUAAAAGAACAUCUUCGGAAGUUUUUCAAAUGGAGAGAAGGGAAAGAAAUUCUCCAAAUGGAUGGGAAGAUCCUUCCAAGAUAUCGACAGAAUUCAAUUGAAGUUUUCAAUAAUCCAGAUAGUGAUGCGAGGGUGUUACUUGCAUCUACAAGAGCAUGUUGUGAAGGGAUCAGCCUAACAGGAGCUUCAAGAGUUGUUCUCUUAGAUGUUGUUUGGAACCCAGCAGUUGGGAGGCAAGCUAUUAGCAGGGCAUUUCGGAUAGGACAGAAAAAAUUUGUGUAUACAUACAAUUUAAUAACUUAUGGAACAGGCGAAGGUGACAAAUAUGACAGGCAAGCAGAAAAAGAUCACUUGUCCAAGUUGGUCUUCUCUGCAGAAGAUGAGUUCAAUAAUGUCAGGAACAUGCUUUCAAAAGCUGAAAUGGAGCACUGUUCUAAGUUGAUCUCCCAGGAUAAGGUUCUGGAGGAGAUAGCUUCCCAUGACCAGCUAAAGGGCAUGUUUUUAAAGAUACACUAUCCACCAACUGAGUCAAAUAUUGUUUUUACUUACAACCAGAUUACCCCUGAGUUGAGUUAAUGGCAGAUGGUGGCAUCGGCAUCAGUUUUGACUUGCAAGUACUUAUGUCUACAACUGAUGCCAGUGAUAAUAAAAUAAAGGAGUCUACCAGUAGUUCUCAUGGCCAGAAGGUACCAGAUCUUAGUGGCUCUUCAACUGAUGCCAGUGAAGUCCAUCUUGCUUUGUGUUGGUACUUGUCUACAUGGCGAGAUAAAGAUGCCACAUGUAUAUAUGACACUCUUAUUGUCCAUCGUUUACUAAUUAUAAGUUUGGCGGUUGCUGUAAAAUGCACAUAUGAUGCGUUAUUCAAAAAUGCAUUGUGGACAUCAAGGUGAAUUUCAAUCUAGAAAACUUUGGAAGCUACUGCUUGCAGCUGCCAAAACAUGCAACAGCUUUUGUGCCAGAGAGACUGCUGUUAGCGCUGAAGAGUCUUGCACAGAUGUCUCUAGAUUAGUCAUCUGACCUUUGUGCAUUUAGAUUAUGUUAUGGUUUCCUGGACUGUCUGAUUAGCAGCACUGUAAGUCUCGCAACAACAGGUCUGAACAUUAUUAAAUUUUCUGGUAUCCAAUAAUACCGUGGUUCAAUAAA
RNA transcript from Brachypodium distachyon (stiff brome), 5255 nucleotides. It is a transcript of the gene named SNF2 domain-containing protein CLASSY 1, with no coding region annotated. NCBI's taxonomy places the organism in Eukaryota, Viridiplantae, Streptophyta, Magnoliopsida, Poales, Poaceae. The record is from RefSeq and is a predicted model, not a curated record. The transcript is spliced from 5 exons.